Molecule: long non-coding RNA, 214 nt
Filed under: Brassica napus (rape)
Lineage: Eukaryota; Viridiplantae; Streptophyta; Magnoliopsida; Brassicales; Brassicaceae
Description: long non-coding RNA (BNAP_LNC010641)
Source: RNAcentral
ACAAUACACCAUUCUUCAAAUGCCCAUAUAGCUCAUCUUCAGUUGAUGUCUUGGUUCUAUCUCUCUCAGUGUCGACCUUCUUCCCCUUAGACACUUUGGCUCUCUUGUGCGGAGUUUGGUCUUCUUCAGUGAUGUCUUCAUUCUCCUCCUCUUGGGGAAGAGUUACCCCCUUGCCUUUCGGUUCCUUUGACCUUUUGGAAUGGGCUGACCUUCU